The sequence is a ribosomal RNA, 271 nucleotides long. It matches the Rfam family "Bacterial large subunit ribosomal RNA", at positions 2223 to 2493 of the family's 2925-position model.
UAACCCGCACCACUUAUCGUGGUGGGAGACAGUGUCAGGCGGGCAGUUUGACUGGGGCGGUCGCCUCCUAAAAGGGAACGGAGGCGCUCAAAGGGUCCCUCAGAAUGGUUGGAAAUCAUUCAUAGAGGGUAAAGGCAUAAGGGAGCUUGACUGCGAGACCUACAAGUCGAGCAGGGUCGAAAGACGGACUUAGUGAUCCGGUGGUUCCGCAUGGAAGGGCCAUCGCUCAACGGAUAAAAGCUACCCCGGGGAUAACAGGCUUAUCUCCCCC